CCAAUAGCGUAUAUUAAAGUUGUUGCAGUUAAAAAGCUCGUAGUUGAAUUUCGAGAUCAAAUUGUUGGUCGUGCCUUGGUACGCACUGGCAUUAUUGGUUUCUCCCUUCUGAAGAACCAUGAUGUCAUUAAUUUGGUGUCUUGGGGAAUCAGGACUGUUACUUUGAAAAAAUUAGAGUGUUUAAAGCAGGCUCGCGCUUGAAUACAUUAGCAUGGAAUAAUGAAAUAGGACGUUUGAUUCUAUUUUGUUGGUUUCUAGGAUCGACGUAAUGAUUAAUAGGGAUAGUUGGGGGCAUUAGUAUUCAAUUGUCAGAGGUGAAAUUCUUGGAUUUAUUGAAGACUAACUACUGCGAAAGCAUUUGCCAAGGAUGUUUUCAUUAAUCAAGAACGAAAGUUAGGGGAUCGAAGACGAUCAGAUACCGUCGUAGUCUUAACCAUAAACUAUGCCGACUAGGGAUCGGAUGAUGUUAAUUUUUUAAUGACUCAUUCGGCGCCUUACG
This 499-nucleotide unclassified non-coding RNA is filed under the name uncultured Glomeromycotina. Its description in RNAcentral is "SSU rRNA". It matches the Rfam family "Eukaryotic small subunit ribosomal RNA", at positions 591 to 1092 of the family's 1831-position model. The record is from RNAcentral. Lineage: Eukaryota; Fungi; Glomeromycota.